GACGAACGCUGGCGGCGUGCUUAACACAUGCAAGUCGAACGGAAAGGCCCUGCUUUUGUGGGGUGCUCGAGUGGCGAACGGGUGAGUAACCCGUGAGUAACCUUCCCUUGACUUUGGGAUAACUUCAGAAAACCGGGGCUAAUACCAGCUAGCUGCUCCUGCUGCAUGGUGGGGGUUGGAACGUGUCGGCGGUUGGGGUCGGACUCGCGGCUUAUCAGCUUGUUGGUGGGGUAGUGGCUUACCAAGGCUUUGACGGGUAGCCGGCCUGAGAGGGUGAACGGCCACAUGGGGACUGAGAUACGGCCCGGGCGCCUCCGGGCGGCAGCAGCGGGGAAUAGGUCACAAGGGGCGGCAGCCGGAUGGAGGAACGCCGCGUGCGGGAUGACGGCCUUCUGGUUGUAAGCCGCUUUCGCCUGUGACGAACCGUGAUUACGGUUACUGCGGAAGAAAGCACCGCCUACUUACUU
This 467-nucleotide ribosomal RNA is filed under the name uncultured bacterium. RNAcentral's name for it is "partial 16S ribosomal RNA". It matches the Rfam family "Bacterial small subunit ribosomal RNA", at positions 28 to 506 of the family's 1533-position model. The record is from RNAcentral.